Molecule: long non-coding RNA, 790 nt
Filed under: Rhinopithecus bieti (black snub-nosed monkey)
Lineage: Eukaryota; Metazoa; Chordata; Mammalia; Primates; Cercopithecidae
Description: lncRNA (ENSRBIG00000046334.1)
Source: RNAcentral
CCGCUGAAAGGUACAAACCAGAACAGCCAUCUUGGCCGCUCAGGGAAGUUCUGUCCUCAUGCCUUUGUUUAUACAGGCCAUUGCUUUUUCCUUCAGGAAUCAAAUGACAACCCCCUGCAGAAGUGCCUGAUGGAAAAUAGGUUGUUAGCAAGAGGAGAGGCCGGGAUGCUCCGGGCACAGGGUUCUGACCAAUGGCAAGUCUGCAUUCCGCACUUGGAAUCGCAACUCUGGAAUGUCAGAGAGUGGGAUUUCCCUGAAGAGUUGCCCAUGUGACUAAGUUACCCCUCAGGACUCUAUAGAAUGAGCAAACUUUUGUGACUACACCACAGGAACCUGCAGUGGGGCAUAAUGUUGUCAAGCAGAGAGACACAGAAGGGGAAAACAGCAUUCAAACCACCGGGCUCCCCAGGCUGUUCUGACUCUCCUCCUUCUCCACUGAUGUUGACAAAAAGUUGGAUUGUGAUAGAAGCAACCAGCAACCCAAAUCUUGGGUCCCUGGGGGUAGGAGAAUCUAGGAUUCAGCCAGUCCAAGGGAACCAGUCUUGCAUUUGGAACACAGUAGCAGGAUUAUUCUGAGGCACAGAGGAGAGAGAGCAGCACUUGGAAGAAACAAAGGUGAAUCCAGACAAGAGGAAGUUGAUUAAGAAGUAAGUGUGCUUGGAGAUUGAGAGGGUGGUCAAGCCUGGGGUGAUUAACUGGUGUGUCUGAAAAGGCACAUUCCAAAUUGCAUAACAUCUCAGCAUCUCUGGACUGUCAGUGGGGAGGACAAGGUGAGUGUGGGGAGCCCAGG